This 253-nucleotide ribosomal RNA is filed under the name uncultured bacterium. RNAcentral describes it as "partial 16S ribosomal RNA". It matches the Rfam family "Bacterial small subunit ribosomal RNA", at positions 524 to 776 of the family's 1533-position model. The record is from RNAcentral.
UACGAAGGGGGCUAGCGUUGUUCGGAAUUACUGGGCGUAAAGCGCACGCAGGCGGUCUGUUUAGUCGGGAGUGAAAGCCCCGGGCUCAACCCGGGAAAUGCUCUCGAUACUGACAGGCUAGAAUCACGGAGAGGGUAGUGGAAUUCCGAGUGUAGAGGUGAAAUUCGUAGAUAUUCGGAAGAACACCAGUGGCGAAGGCGACUACCUGGCCGUCGAUUGACGCUCAUGUGCGAAAGCGUGGGGAGCAAACAGG